AUUGAACGCUGGCGGCAUGCUUUACACAUGCAAGUCGAACGGUAACAGGCCUUCGGGUGCUGACGAGUGGCGAACGGGUGAGUAAUGCAUCGGAACGUGCCCAGAGGUGGGGGAUAACGCAGCGAAAGCUGUGCUAAUACCGCAUGUGAUCUGAGGAUGAAAGCGGGGGACCAAGCAGCAAUGUUUGGCCUCGCGCCUCUGGAGCGGCCGAUGUCAGAUUAGGUAGUUGGUGGGGUAAAGGCCUACCAAGCCGACGAUCUGUAGCUGGUCUGAGAGGACGACCAGCCACACUGGGACUGAGACACGGCCCAGACUCCUACGGGAGGCAGCAGUGGGGAAUUUUGGACAAUGGGCGCAAGCCUGAUCCAGCAAUGCCGCGUGCGGGAAGAAGGCCUUCGGGUUGUAAACCGCUUUUGUACGAAACGAAAAGGCUCUGGCUAAUACCUGGGGCUGAUGACGGUACCGGAAGAAUAAGCACCGGCUAACUACGUG
RNAcentral lists this ribosomal RNA (492 nucleotides) under uncultured bacterium. Its description in RNAcentral is "partial 16S ribosomal RNA". It matches the Rfam family "Bacterial small subunit ribosomal RNA", at positions 30 to 507 of the family's 1533-position model. The record is from RNAcentral.